This 511-nucleotide ribosomal RNA is filed under the name Acanthocinini sp. IBE JGZ-3837. RNAcentral's name for it is "partial large subunit ribosomal RNA". It matches the Rfam family "Bacterial large subunit ribosomal RNA", at positions 1819 to 2603 of the family's 2925-position model. Lineage: Eukaryota; Metazoa; Arthropoda; Insecta; Coleoptera; Cerambycidae. The record is from RNAcentral.
GGCCUUUAGAGUAUAAUUUAAGGUCUGACCUGCCCACUGAAAAUUAAAGGGCCGCGGUAUCUUGACCGUGCAAAGGUAGCAUAAUCAUUAGUUUCUUAAUUAGAAGCUGGAAUGAAUGGUUUUAUGAAAAAAUAGCUGUCUCAAUUUUAAUAAAAAUGAAUUUUAUUUUUAAGUUAAAAAGCUUAAAUAUAAUUGAAAGACGAGAAGACCCUAUAGAUUUUUAUAAAUAUGUAUUUUUAUAUUUUUGGCAUUUAAAUUAUAAAAAUAAAUAUUUAUUUAGUUGGGGUGAUUGAAAAAUUUAAUAAACUUUUUUUUAUAGAAGACAUAAAUUUAUGAGUGUAUGAUCCAGUUUUAUUGAUUAUAAGAUUAAAUUACCUUAGGGAUAACAGCGUUAUUCUAUAUGAGAGCUCUAAUCGAAUAUAGAGAUUGCGACCUCGAUGUUGGAUUAAAAUUAAUUUUUGGUGGAGAAGCUGAAAUAUUAGGUCUGUUCGACCUUUAAAAUUUUACAUGA